This 460-nucleotide ribosomal RNA is filed under the name uncultured bacterium. RNAcentral's name for it is "partial 16S ribosomal RNA". It matches the Rfam family "Bacterial small subunit ribosomal RNA", at positions 338 to 795 of the family's 1533-position model. The record is from RNAcentral.
CCUACGGGAGGCAGCAGUGAGGAAUAUUGGUCAAUGGGCUUACGCCUGAACCAGCCAAGUCGCGUGAGGGAAGACUGCCCUAUGGGUUGUAAACCUCUUUUGUCAGGGAGCAACGCCGGCUACGUGUAGCCGGACUGAGAGUACCUGAAGAAAAAGCAUCGGCUAACUCCGUGCCAGCAGCCGCGGUAAUACGGAGGAUGCGAGCGUUAUCCGGAUUGAUUGGGUUUAAAGGGUGCGUAGGCGGAAUGCCAAGUCAGCGGUAAAAUCGCGGGGCUCAACCUCGCUCCGCCGUUGACGCUGGCGUUCUUGAGUGGGCGAGAGGUAUGCGGAAUGCGUGGUGUAGCGGUGAAAUGCAUAGAUAUCACGCAGAACUCCGAUUGCGAAGGCAGCAUACCGGCGCCCAACUGACGCUGAAGCACGAAAGCGUGGGUAUCGAACAGGAUUAGAUACCCGAGUAGUC